This 438-nucleotide ribosomal RNA is filed under the name uncultured bacterium. Its description in RNAcentral is "bacterial SSU rRNA". It matches the Rfam family "Bacterial small subunit ribosomal RNA", at positions 958 to 1398 of the family's 1533-position model. The record is from RNAcentral.
AACGCGAAGAACCUUACCAAGGUUUGACAUGGACCGAAAACUCAUGGAGACAUGGGGUCCUUCGGGGCGGUUCACAGGUGGUGCAUGGCUGUCGUCAGCUCGUGUCGUGAGAUGUUGGGUUAAGUCCCGCAACGAGCGCAACCCUCGUCCAAUGUUGCCAGCGGGUUAUGCCGGGGACUCAUUGGAGACUGCCGGGGUCAACUCGGAGGAAGGUGGGGAUGACGUCAAGUCAUCAUGCCCCUUAUGUCUUGGGCUGCAAACAUGCUACAAUGGCCGGUACAGAGGGCUGCGAACCUGUGAGGGUAAGCGAAUCCCGGAAAGCCGACCUCAGUUCGGAUUGGAGUCUGCAACUCGACUCCAUGAAGCUGGAAUCGCUAGUAAUCGCGGAUCAGAACGCCGCGGUGAAUACGUUCCCGGGCCUUGUACACACCGCUAGUC